CUUUAGUCCUCAUAACUCUCUGAGGUGGAUGGAGGAACUACUCAGCCCCACGAACAAUCCUGUGUUUGCUUCUGACUCCAUCAUGCAUCCUUGGAGAGAUGAUUCCAACAAGAGGCCUCCAAUUUCUGGCGCUUCUAGCAGUACCAGCCACAUCACCACUGCUUUUAUGCUUGCUUCCAUACAUCCUGGACCUGAGACAAAGACCCUGUGCUACUGUACUCUACACGAAAAGGGUACAUGGAGAUUGAGGAGAACCAGUAUCACAACCAAGCUGGGGGACUCAAUGAAGAGUUGCUCCUUCAGCAAAUGAGCUUCACUAAAGGAAACCAACCCUGAAUAUUCAUUGGAAGGACUGACGCUGAAACUGAAGCUCCAGUAUUUUGGCCAUCUGAUGGAAAAAGCCAACUCACUGGAAAAGACCCUGAUGUUGGGAAAGAUUGAAGGCAGGAGGAGAAGGGGACAACAGAGGAUGAGCUGGUUGAAUGACAUCACCGAUUCAAUGGACAUGAGUUUGAGCGAACUCCAGGAGAUGGUGAAGGACAGGGAAGCCUGGUGUGUUGCAGUCCAUGGGGUUUCAGAGUCGGACACGGC
Long non-coding RNA from Bos taurus (domestic cattle), 591 nucleotides. The record is from Ensembl. Lineage: Eukaryota; Metazoa; Chordata; Mammalia; Artiodactyla; Bovidae.